This 939-nucleotide ribosomal RNA is filed under the name Triops granarius. Its description in RNAcentral is "partial 16S ribosomal RNA". It matches the Rfam family "Bacterial large subunit ribosomal RNA", at positions 703 to 2554 of the family's 2925-position model. The record is from RNAcentral. Lineage: Eukaryota; Metazoa; Arthropoda; Branchiopoda; Notostraca; Triopsidae.
GAUAUUUAGUUCCCAAAAGAGAAAGAUCUAAAUUUUUAUAAUUAUUUCUGUGUCAUCAUAAUUUUUAAUAAAAGUUUAGAAGUGAAAUAUUAAUCGGUUUCUCUAAUAUUUGGUUCCUUAAGAAUUAAAUUUAAUUUAGACUCGCUUUUAUAUUUAAAUUAACUAGUUAAUUUAAAUAAAGUUAGAUUUAGGGUUAGAGGGAUUAGCUUUUAACUCAAUUUGAAUUAAGUAUAACUUAUUAAAUGAUAAAAUGUUUAUAUGCUUAGAAAUAGCAACUAAUGAAAAUAAUGUUAUAAUUUACAUUUUAAAAAUAAUUAUUUUAUAAAAAUUUACUUAAUUUAUUAAGGUAAAGUCUUGAAUAUUUCAAGACUAGUAAUAAUAUUAUUAUGAGUAGAAAAAUGAUUUAAAUUUUUUGUAAUAUUAAAUAUAACAAAGGAACUCGGCAAAUAUAUUUUUCGCCUGUUUAUCAAAAACAUCUCCUUAAGACUUAAUUUAAGGUAUAGCCUGCUCUAUGAAUAUUUUUAAUGGCCGCGGUAUUUUGACCGUGCGAAGGUAGCAUAAUCAUUAGUCUUUUAAUUGAAGGCUGGUAUGAAUGGCUGGACGAGAAAAUUUCUGUCUCUGUUAUAAUAUUUGAAUUUUAUUUUUAAGUGAAAAAGCUUAAAUUUUUUUGAGGGACGAUAAGACCCUAUGGAUCUUUAUAAUAAUAAAUAGUAAAAAGCUUAGAUUGUAACAGCUUAUUAUUUUGAAUUAUUGGGUUGGGGCGACCAGGAGAAAAAAGUAUCUCUUCUUAAAUAAAAUAUUAUUAGUAGAAAUAAAUUGACCCUGAAUUUUGGUUUAAAAGACUAAGUUACCCUAGGGAUAACAGCGUAAUCUUUUUGGAGAGUUCAUAUCGAUGAAAGGGUUUGCGACCUCGAUGUUGGAUUAAGAGACCCUUGCGCA